CCAGGCGUUAUCCGGAUUUAUUGGGUUUAAAGGGAGCGUAGGCUGGAGAUUAAGUGUGUUGUGAAAUGUAGACGCUCAACGUCUGAAUUGCAGCGCAUACUGGUUUCCUUGAGUACGCACAACGUUGGCGGAAUUCGUCGUGUAGCGGUGAAAUGCUUAGAUAUGACGAAGAACUCCGAUUGCGAAGGCAGCUGACGGGAGCGCAACUGACGCUUAAGCUCGAAGGUGCGGGUAUCAAACAGGAUUAGAUACCCUGGUAGUCCGCACAGUAAACGAUGGAUGCCCGCUGUUGGUACCUGGUAUCAGCGGCUAAGCGAAAGCAUUAAGCAUCCCACCUGGGGAGUACGCCGGCAACGGUGAAACUCAAAGGAAUUGACGGGGGCCCGCACAAGCGGAGGAACAUGUGGUUUAAUUCGAUGAUACGCGAGGAACCUUACCCGGGCUUGAAUUGCAGAGGAAGUAUUUAGAGAUA
RNAcentral lists this ribosomal RNA (472 nucleotides) under uncultured bacterium. Its description in RNAcentral is "bacterial SSU rRNA". It matches the Rfam family "Bacterial small subunit ribosomal RNA", at positions 534 to 1008 of the family's 1533-position model. The record is from RNAcentral.